GGAGGAACUUCCUCCCUCAGCUCUGGUUCCAGGGGACACAGCCUGCAGUUCCACAUUUGGAUCGAGUGAAGGCUGCAUCCAACCUUAGGAUACCUGUUAUGGUCACAUGUUUUGGAAUAUACCCUUCUUCAGAAGCCAACACAGAAUUGGUGGUUGUGAGGUAAAUGAAUACCUCAUAUGGCAGGUGCAGAAGGGCUUUCAACCGUGGUCAAACCUGGCCCUUGAACACUGCUGAGUAAGCUGAAAGUGGAAUUAAACUGUGGCUCAGUGUGGCCUUAAUACAGUACUAUAUUCCCUGGAACAAUCCUGCAGUAUCCAUUCCCAUUGAAAUAAUGACUGAACGUGAGCAUGAACUGGGGAGAUCCUGAUAAAGGCUGACAGCAUGCAAGGAAGCUGUACGAAGACAGAGAGGGUAGGCCUCAGCCUGCCCUGACAAUGAAUAUGGCAGGAGCUCAGAAAACCAGUGUCUCUUGGAAGAGCUCCCUACAUCACCGGUACAGGGAAAUUAUUCAUCUUCUCCCUGAACUGCACCAUCAGCCUACCUCCCCCACCCAUGCCACAAAGGCCUUAAUUUGAUCCAGUGUGCACCAGAGAUAAGGGACCUGUUUUCAAUGCCCAAAACUACCCCUGGAACACAUAAAAUGGCAAAAUAAAAUUACAUAAAUAAAACCCUUACACAUCAGCAGGAUACCUUCAUUCAUUGCUAACUAAUCAUAACCAACCCCAUAUAUUUAGGAUUACAAGGGAAAUCUACCAGUUUCCAAGAAGACAACGAAGCAUGAGGUCAAAUACCUCUUAGCUUAGAAAAUAAGUAUGUAUAUAGACCAUUUAAAGGUAAAGUUGCACCGUCGAAUCGGUGUCGACUCCUGGUGACCACAGAGCCCUGUGGUUGUCUUUGGUAGAAUACAGGAGGAGUUUACCAUUGCCUCCUCCCACGCAGUAUGAAAUGAUUCCUUUCAGCAUCUUCCUAUAUCGCGGCUGCCCAUAUAGAUCAUUUAGCCCAGCAUUUUUUAUCGCUUUCAGCAACUUAUAUUAUUGAACUGAAUGAGUGGUCAAGAGUCUACACAUAUCAUUUUGUAUGCAUGUCUGUAUCCAUGUACAUAUUUCUGUGUGAAUGGGGUAGUUUGGACAAAACACCCACCAGCCCUCUAAACUGUAUGAGGGAAGGAUGUGGAAACAGGUAUUUAAUCCCCACAUUGAGGGGCAGUUGAGGGGCAUGCUAUCUACUAUUGUUUAAUUAUGAAGGAGUGUGUGUAGCUCAACUGACCCUUAAUGUGUGCAUUAAAAACUAUUUUAAUGUAGUAUUUAAUUCAUGCAACCCCUGACAUGAUCAGAUGACAGCUGGACAGCGCUCCUGAACUCCUCCCCCACAUGACUGAGAGGGCUUUGGACAUAGUGGACCGGGUCUCAUGAUCAGUGAGACCCGGUUUCGUCUGGUGAGUGGGCAGGGAGCCCUGGGCGGCCGGAUCGGCCGCCCACAUGAUGGCCAGCUCCGA
Long non-coding RNA from Hemicordylus capensis (graceful crag lizard), 1496 nucleotides. RefSeq lists it as uncharacterized. The transcript is spliced from 3 exons. The record is from RefSeq and is a predicted model, not a curated record. NCBI's taxonomy places the organism in Eukaryota, Metazoa, Chordata, Lepidosauria, Squamata, Cordylidae.